AGAGAUUUAGGAUAAUAUUAGACCAAAAGCCUUCAAAGCUUUAAGUAGGAAUGAAAAUUUCCUAAUCCCUG
This 71-nucleotide transfer RNA is filed under the name Noturus leptacanthus (speckled madtom). RNAcentral describes it as "tRNA-Trp". It matches the Rfam family "tRNA". Rfam says of the family: Transfer RNA (tRNA) molecules are approximately 80 nucleotides in length. Their secondary structure includes four short double-helical elements and three loops (D, anti-codon, and T loops). The record is from RNAcentral. Lineage: Eukaryota; Metazoa; Chordata; Actinopteri; Siluriformes; Ictaluridae.